UGAGAGAGGCAAAAACACUUCCAAAUAAGGAA
Molecule: non-coding RNA, 32 nt
Filed under: Homo sapiens (human)
Lineage: Eukaryota; Metazoa; Chordata; Mammalia; Primates; Hominidae
Source: RNAcentral